AGGCAACCUGCCCUCCAGACGGGGACAACAUUCCGAAAGGGGUGCUAAUACCGGAUACGAAGGAGCCAUCGCAUGGUGGUUCUUUGAAAGAUGGCCUCUACAUGUAAGCUAUCGCUGGGGGAUGGGCCUGCGUCCGAUUAGCUGGUUGGUGGGGUAACGGCCUACCAAGGCGACGAUCGGUAGCCGGUCUGAGAGGAUGAACGGCCACAUUGGGACUGAGACACGGCCCAGACUCCUACGGGAGGCAGCAGUGGGGAAUCUUCCGCAAUGGGCGCAAGCCUGACGGAGCAACGCCGCGUGAGUGAGGAAGUUUUUCGGAACGUAAAGCUCUGUUGUUCCUGACGAACGUGCCACCUAUCAACAACGGGUGGCAAUGACGGUAGGGAACGAGGAAGCCACGGCUAACUACGUGCCAGCAGCCGCGGUAAUACGUAGGUGGCAAGCGUUGUCCGGAAUUAUUGGGCGUAAAGCGCAUGUAGGCGGUGGAUUAAGUCUGUCGUGAAACUGCGGGGCUCAGCCCCGUAUGGCGAUGGAAACUGGUCCACUUGAGUGCAGGAGAGGAAAGGGGAACUCCCAGUGUAGCGGUGAAAUGCGUAGAUAUUGGGAAGAACACCGGUGGCGA
Molecule: ribosomal RNA, 622 nt
Filed under: uncultured rumen bacterium
Lineage: Bacteria
Description: bacterial SSU rRNA
Rfam family: Bacterial small subunit ribosomal RNA
Source: RNAcentral